GAUGAACGCUGGCGGCGUGCCUAAUACAUGCAAGUCGAACGAAACUUCUUUAUCACCGAGUGCUUGCACUCACCGAUAAAGAGUUGAGUGGCGAACGGGUGAGUAACACGUGGGCAACCUGCCCAAAAGAGGGGGAUAACACUUGGAAACAGGCGCUAAUACCGCAUAACCAUAGUUACCGCAUGGUAACUAUGUAAAAGGUGGCUAUACUACCGCUUUUGGAUGGGCCCGCGGCGCAUUAGCAAGUUGGUAGGGUAAAGGCUUACCAAGGCAAUGAUGCGUAGCCGAAUUGAGAGGUUGAUCGGCCACAUUGGGACUGAGACACGGCCCAAACUCCUACGGGAGGCAGCAGUAGGGAAUCUUCCACAAUGGGCGAAAGCCUGAUGGAGCAACGCCGCGUGGGUGAAGAAGGUCUUCGGAUCGUAAAACCCUGUUGUUAGAGAAGAAAGUGCGUGAGAGUAACUGUUCACGUUUCGACGGUAUCUAACCAGAAAGCCACGGCUAACUACGUG
Molecule: ribosomal RNA, 512 nt
Filed under: uncultured bacterium
Lineage: Bacteria
Description: partial 16S ribosomal RNA
Rfam family: Bacterial small subunit ribosomal RNA
Source: RNAcentral